AUGGAAACACUAAACACACUUCAGAAAGUUUUUCACCUACAGCUACAUGAGAUACUGUGUUCUGACAUGCUGGGUUCUCAGGGCCCUCCCAGCCCUGACCUCCCAGGUUCUAAGGUUCCUCCCAGCCCUGACCUCCUGGGUUCUAAGGGCCCUCCCAGCUCUGACCUGCCGGGUUCUAAGACCUUUCCCAGCCCUGACCAGCCUGGUUCUAAGGUUCCUCCCAGCUCUGACCUCCUGGGUUCUAAGGGCCUUCCCAGCCCUGACCUCCUGGACUCUAAGGGCCCUCCCGGCUCUGACCUCCCGGGUUCUAAGACCUUUCCCAGCUCUGACCUCCCGGGUUCUAAGACCUUUCCCAGCCCUGACCAGCCUGGUUCUAAGGGCCCUCCCAGCCCUGACCUCCUGGGUUCUAAGGGCCCUCCCAGCUCUGACAUCCCGGGUUCUAAGACCUUUCCCAGCCCUGACCUCCCCGGUUCUAAGGACCCUCCCAGCUCUGACAUCCCGGGUUCUAAGACCUUUCCCAGCUCUGACCUCCCCGGUUCUAAGACCUUUCCCAGCUCUGACCUCCCGGGUUCUAAGGACCCUCCCAGCUCUGACAUCCCGGGUUCUAAGACCUUUCCCAGCUCUGACCUCCCCGGUUCUAAGACCUUUCCCAGCUCUGACCUCCCGGGUUCUAAGGACCCUCCCAGCUCUGACAUCCCGGGUUCUAAGACCUUUCCCAGCCCUGACCUCCCAGGUUCUAAGACCUUUCCCAGCCCUGACCUCCUGGGUUCUAAGGGCCCACCCAGCUCUGGACACCCCAAGUUCCUCCCAUGGUGCUGUCUGGCCUGCUUUCAGGCUCACCUGUACCCAUGUGGGGGCAGACAAGCCACCCUCACACUUGAGGGGCCCCUCUGUAGGCCUGUGGGUGGCAGGGCAGUGGGACAAGGUUCCCUCGUGGGCUCCCUUGGUACUAACGGGGUUUUCAGGCCGGUCUCCUCGCCCUCCUUGACCUCAGUUCCCUCUCCCCAAACAGCCGGAGGCCCCCGAGAGACCCAGCCCCCCCCCCCCCCAACAGCCAUCCCACCAAAAUGA
RNAcentral lists this long non-coding RNA (1071 nucleotides) under Sarcophilus harrisii (Tasmanian devil). RNAcentral's name for it is "lncRNA (ENSSHAG00000021593.1)". The record is from RNAcentral. Lineage: Eukaryota; Metazoa; Chordata; Mammalia; Dasyuromorphia; Dasyuridae.